UACAUAGGGGGCAAGCGUUAUCCGGAAUUAUUGGGCGUAAAGCGCGCGUAGGUGGUUUGGUAAGCGAGAUGUGAAAGCCCCGGGCUUAACCUGGGAACGGCAUUUCGAACUGCCAGACUAGAGUGUGGUAGAGGGUAGUGGAAUUUCCUGUGUAGCGGUGAAAUGCGUAGAUAUAGGAAGGAACACCAGUGGCGAAGGCGGCUUCCUGGUCUGUAACUGACACUGAGGCGCGAAAGCGUGGGGAGCAAACAGGAUUAGAUACCCCCGUAGUCCCUGAG
This 278-nucleotide ribosomal RNA is filed under the name uncultured prokaryote. RNAcentral describes it as "partial 16S ribosomal RNA". It matches the Rfam family "Bacterial small subunit ribosomal RNA", at positions 524 to 801 of the family's 1533-position model. The record is from RNAcentral.